Molecule: ribosomal RNA, 120 nt
Organism: Aotus nancymaae (Ma's night monkey)
Lineage: Eukaryota; Metazoa; Chordata; Mammalia; Primates; Aotidae
Source: Ensembl
AUCUAGGACCAUGCCACCCUGAAAGUGGCUUAUCUCGUCUGAUCUCAGAACCUAAGCAGGUCAGGCCUGGUUAGUACUUGGAUGAGAGAUUUGGGUGAUGACACACAGCCAAACCACAUC